RNAcentral lists this ribosomal RNA (2902 nucleotides) under Escherichia coli KTE161. Its description in RNAcentral is "bacterial LSU rRNA". It matches the Rfam family "Bacterial large subunit ribosomal RNA". Lineage: Bacteria; Pseudomonadati; Pseudomonadota; Gammaproteobacteria; Enterobacterales; Enterobacteriaceae. The record is from RNAcentral.
UUAAGCGACUAAGCGUACACGGUGGAUGCCCUGGCAGUCAGAGGCGAUGAAGGACGUGCUAAUCUGCGAUAAGCGUCGGUAAGGUGAUAUGAACCGUUAUAACCGGCGAUUUCCGAAUGGGGAAACCCAGUGUGUUUCGACACACUAUCAUUAACUGAAUCCAUAGGUUAAUGAGGCGAACCGGGGGAACUGAAACAUCUAAGUACCCCGAGGAAAAGAAAUCAACCGAGAUUCCCCCAGUAGCGGCGAGCGAACGGGGAGGAGCCCAGAGCCUGAAUCAGUGUGUGUGUUAGUGGAAGCGUCUGGAAAGGCGCGCGAUACAGGGUGACAGCCCCGUACACAAAAAUGCACAUGCUGUGAGCUCGAUGAGUAGGGCGGGACACGUGGUAUCCUGUCUGAAUAUGGGGGGACCAUCCUCCAAGGCUAAAUACUCCUGACUGACCGAUAGUGAACCAGUACCGUGAGGGAAAGGCGAAAAGAACCCCGGCGAGGGGAGUGAAAAAGAACCUGAAACCGUGUACGUACAAGCAGUGGGAGCACGCUUAGGCGUGUGACUGCGUACCUUUUGUAUAAUGGGUCAGCGACUUAUAUUCUGUAGCAAGGUUAACCGAAUAGGGGAGCCGAAGGGAAACCGAGUCUUAACUGGGCGUUAAGUUGCAGGGUAUAGACCCGAAACCCGGUGAUCUAGCCAUGGGCAGGUUGAAGGUUGGGUAACACUAACUGGAGGACCGAACCGACUAAUGUUGAAAAAUUAGCGGAUGACUUGUGGCUGGGGGUGAAAGGCCAAUCAAACCGGGAGAUAGCUGGUUCUCCCCGAAAGCUAUUUAGGUAGCGCCUCGUGAAUUCAUCUCCGGGGGUAGAGCACUGUUUCGGCAAGGGGGUCAUCCCGACUUACCAACCCGAUGCAAACUGCGAAUACCGGAGAAUGUUAUCACGGGAGACACACGGCGGGUGCUAACGUCCGUCGUGAAGAGGGAAACAACCCAGACCGCCAGCUAAGGUCCCAAAGUCAUGGUUAAGUGGGAAACGAUGUGGGAAGGCCCAGACAGCCAGGAUGUUGGCUUAGAAGCAGCCAUCAUUUAAAGAAAGCGUAAUAGCUCACUGGUCGAGUCGGCCUGCGCGGAAGAUGUAACGGGGCUAAACCAUGCACCGAAGCUGCGGCAGCGACGCUGAUGCGUUGUUGGGUAGGGGAGCGUUCUGUAAGCCUGCGAAGGUGUGCUGUGAGGCAUGCUGGAGGUAUCAGAAGUGCGAAUGCUGACAUAAGUAACGAUAAAGCGGGUGAAAAGCCCGCUCGCCGGAAGACCAAGGGUUCCUGUCCAACGUUAAUCGGGGCAGGGUGAGUCGACCCCUAAGGCGAGGCCGAAAGGCGUAGUCGAUGGGAAACAGGUUAAUAUUCCUGUACUUGGUGUUACUGCGAAGGGGGGACGGAGAAGGCUAUGUUGGCCGGGCGACGGUUGUCCCGGUUUAAGCGUGUAGGCUGGUUUUCCAGGCAAAUCCGGAAAAUCAAGGCUGAGGCGUGAUGACGAGGCACUACGGUGCUGAAGCAACAAAUGCCCUGCUUCCAGGAAAAGCCUCUAAGCAUCAGGUAACAUCAAAUCGUACCCCAAACCGACACAGGUGGUCAGGUAGAGAAUACCAAGGCGCUUGAGAGAACUCGGGUGAAGGAACUAGGCAAAAUGGUGCCGUAACUUCGGGAGAAGGCACGCUGAUAUGUAGGUGAAGUCCCUUGCGGAUGGAGCUGAAAUCAGUCGAAGAUACCAGCUGGCUGCAACUGUUUAUUAAAAACACAGCACUGUGCAAACACGAAAGUGGACGUAUACGGUGUGACGCCUGCCCGGUGCCGGAAGGUUAAUUGAUGGGGUUAGCGCAAGCGAAGCUCUUGAUCGAAGCCCCGGUAAACGGCGGCCGUAACUAUAACGGUCCUAAGGUAGCGAAAUUCCUUGUCGGGUAAGUUCCGACCUGCACGAAUGGCGUAAUGAUGGCCAGGCUGUCUCCACCCGAGACUCAGUGAAAUUGAACUCGCUGUGAAGAUGCAGUGUACCCGCGGCAAGACGGAAAGACCCCGUGAACCUUUACUAUAGCUUGACACUGAACAUUGAGCCUUGAUGUGUAGGAUAGGUGGGAGGCUUUGAAGUGUGGACGCCAGUCUGCAUGGAGCCGACCUUGAAAUACCACCCUUUAAUGUUUGAUGUUCUAACGUGGACCCGUGAUCCGGGUUGCGGACAGUGUCUGGUGGGUAGUUUGACUGGGGCGGUCUCCUCCUAAAGAGUAACGGAGGAGCACGAAGGUUGGCUAAUCCUGGUCGGACAUCAGGAGGUUAGUGCAAUGGCAUAAGCCAGCUUGACUGCGAGCGUGACGGCGCGAGCAGGUGCGAAAGCAGGUCAUAGUGAUCCGGUGGUUCUGAAUGGAAGGGCCAUCGCUCAACGGAUAAAAGGUACUCCGGGGAUAACAGGCUGAUACCGCCCAAGAGUUCAUAUCGACGGCGGUGUUUGGCACCUCGAUGUCGGCUCAUCACAUCCUGGGGCUGAAGUAGGUCCCAAGGGUAUGGCUGUUCGCCAUUUAAAGUGGUACGCGAGCUGGGUUUAGAACGUCGUGAGACAGUUCGGUCCCUAUCUGCCGUGGGCGCUGGAGAACUGAGGGGGGCUGCUCCUAGUACGAGAGGACCGGAGUGGACGCAUCACUGGUGUUCGGGUUGUCAUGCCAAUGGCACUGCCCGGUAGCUAAAUGCGGAAGAGAUAAGUGCUGAAAGCAUCUAAGCACGAAACUUGCCCCGAGAUGAGUUCUCCCUGACCCUUUAAGGGUCCUGAAGGAACGUUGAAGACGACGACGUUGAUAGGCCGGGUGUGUAAGCGCAGCGAUGCGUUGAGCUAACCGGUACUAAUGAACCGUGAGGCUUAACCUU